Papilio xuthus (Asian swallowtail) is the source of this 411-nucleotide long non-coding RNA. RefSeq lists it as uncharacterized. Lineage: Eukaryota; Metazoa; Arthropoda; Insecta; Lepidoptera; Papilionidae. The transcript is spliced from 8 exons. The record is from RefSeq and is a predicted model, not a curated record.
UCAAACAAAGUAAUCCAGUUUUUACUGAAAACCGCCUGUGACAUUAUUAAGACCAGAAUGAAAACUAUCAUAUUAGCACUUCUGCUAACCACAGUUUUCAACGGUGGCAGUGCCCAGGUACCCGCCGCUGUAUUUGGCCUACUUCAAGACACAACACAAAAUGUUGGCGACACCGUUGAUGCCGUAGUUCCUCCAGGAACUGUCCCCGGUGUCAAUGUUGGCGAUACUGUACGAGGACUUGGACAAUCGUCCUAACUAACUAAUCGGACUAACGUCUUAGAAUAAACUAAAUUGGUAUAAGGAUAGUACUUCCUUCAAUAUAUUUUUAUAUUAUUAAGGCUCAUGUGUAUUUAAUACUUCAUGUUUAAUUUGGCUAAAAUGUAUUAUAAAAUAAACAAAUUGUUCUGUUAU